Molecule: long non-coding RNA, 1019 nt
Organism: Helianthus annuus (common sunflower)
Lineage: Eukaryota; Viridiplantae; Streptophyta; Magnoliopsida; Asterales; Asteraceae
Exons: 2
Source: RefSeq, a predicted model, not a curated record
UGUCUCCUUCUCUCUCUAGAAGGAUCGUAUUCUCCGGAGGUAAUGAGUGGCGUUUUUUUCUGACUGCGGAGUGGUGGCAGCGGGUUGAGACGCCGUCGCCGUCGCCGAGGAAGACAACCGAAAACAGUUACUUUCUUCUCUCUUUCCCAGCUUCCUUUUUCAGAACGUAGUAGCCACCACCAUCUAACCUCCACCGUGUACCAACUAAACUCACACAUCACAUGCAAGGGUUUCCCGAUUCUAUCUUAUCUCGAAAAAAGCCUUUUUUUUCUGAUUGCGUACCGUCUCCACAGUACAACCGCCUAGCCACCUUCCUUUUUUCCGUCUCCAGCGGUGGUGGUUGGCCAUCAUGGUCACCGCCGGAAGCUUGGUGGUCGUGCACUUCGAGUGAAAGCGGUUAGUUACAAACAUGGGUCAAAACUGUCUUCCUUUUUCCGUCUCCAUCAGUGUCAAAGCCGCUGAAGAUCUCACAGCCACUGCCAUCGUCGGAGACAACCAUUACCGCCGCCGCUAGUUUGCGUCGGUCAUCUCUACCAACAGCUCUUGCUUUGUACAUGUGCUUUCUGUUAAGGGACCAAAGUUGUAAACGCGGAGAAAGACCGGUGGCAUCCUUCUAACACUCUAAUAAAGUACUAUUGUACCGACAUUUAUGAAUUAGCCGAUACGUCGCCGGUGAAGGCUGAGAGGAGGAGAAACCCUAGAAUCGCAUACGCUUUCAUCCUCGUCUCCGUACGGACUUGUCAGAGACGGUCUUCGAAGCUCCUAGUGUCCGGUGAGUCGGUGGUGGGUGGGUCUUCAGGGGUUGAGUCUUCGGGGGUUGAAGGAGAGGGUUUGGAGCGGCUGCGCAUGACGGCGGAAGUGGGAAAGAGGCGGAAGACGGUGGUGGUCACGUUGAUGGUGACGCUGGAAGACAACGGCACAUACACCUUGCAAAGAUCAGUGAGAGCAGCAAUGGUCGCAGAGAUCAGGAAGAAAAGAGAUUGAGAGUUGUUUGUUGUUUUGUCUGCUGAGGGUCGAAA